This 726-nucleotide ribosomal RNA is filed under the name uncultured bacterium. RNAcentral describes it as "bacterial SSU rRNA". It matches the Rfam family "Bacterial small subunit ribosomal RNA", at positions 675 to 1406 of the family's 1533-position model. The record is from RNAcentral.
GUAGCGGUGAAAUGCUUAGAUAUCACGAAGAACUCCGAUUGCGAAGGCAGCACACUAAGCCGUAACUGACGUUCAUGCUCGAAAGUGUGGGUAUCAAACAGGAUUAGAUACCCUGGUAGUCCACACGGUAAACGAUGGAUACUCGCUGUUGGCGAUAUACUGUCAGCGGCUUAGCGAAAGCGUUAAGUAUCCCACCUGGGGAGUACGCCGGCAACGGUGAAACUCAAAGGAAUUGACGGGGGCCCGCACAAGCGGAGGAACAUGUGGUUUAAUUCGAUGAUACGCGAGGAACCUUACCCGGGCUUAAAUUGCAAAGGAAUUGCGUGGAAACAUGCAAGUCUUCGGACCUUUGUGAAGGUGCUGCAUGGUUGUCGUCAGCUCGUGCCGUGAGGUGUCGGCUUAAGUGCCAUAACGAGCGCAACCCUCGCCGCCAGUUACUAACAGUUAAAGCUGAGGACUCUGGCGGGACUGCCAUCGUAAGAUGUGAGGAAGGUGGGGAUGACGUCAAAUCAGCACGGCCCUUACGUCCGGGGCUACACACGUGUUACAAUGGGCGGUACAGAAGGCAGCUACCUGGCGACAGGAUGCCAAUCCCUAAAGCCGCUCUCAGUUCGGACUGGAGUCUGCAACCCGACUCCACGAAGCUGGAUUCGCUAGUAAUCGCGCAUCAGCCACGGCGCGGUGAAUACGUUCCCGGGCCUUGUACACACCGCCCGUCAAGCCAUG